AAAACAAAAUUUCUCACUCUUAACUGACCCAUGCCCAUUAAGUCCCACAGUUAUGGCAGGCCCUACAGAACUGCACCCCCACUUGUUCUUGUACAGCGCAAAGCAGUUUUCCAGGUGCACUAGGAAAUGGGAGAAAAGGCAGAGAUUUGGGGAAGAGAACCAGUGUCUCCUUGCCAGAAACCCCCAAGGCCUGGGUUGUGAGUGAGUCCCCUUCUGCACAGGACAGAGGGCUGCAGCACCAGGUCUCCCCAUGGAGCCGCUGGCAGGCAGAGGGGCUCAGGCUGUGUAGCCGUGUAAACGGAACAACAGUUCAGGAGCUGAUUUACAAUUAUCAAGCACAUGCAAGGAGAAUGAGCUAAAAAGUUCUCAGAAAGGCUGAUGAUGCUUUCUGGUGCCAUGGGAGCUGUCAGUCAAUGGGCUAAAGCUGGCUGGAGUCAAGGUCCAGUAGGGUUUUGCAGGGAGGAUGCUGCCCCUGAGUUACAAGUGAAAAUAAUGUGUGGCAAAGUGUCUUAGUAUCUGUAACUGAAAGUGCAGGCUCUGCACAUGAAAAAGACGCAGCAGGGGCUGAGGCAGGGCCUGGCUGGUCAGAGUGUCUGUCUGUGGGCAAGGCUCAGGCGGCUGAAGAAAGCCCACAGGACAGGUCCCAGCUGCACAUCAAGCCUCUGUCCCACUGUCCCCAGCUCACAGCAAAGCAGCCACCUGAAGCCGACGCUGCUCCCCUAAAGCAGCUCCCCAAAAGAUGCUGUGGCAGGUGCCAUGGGCAAGGCUGUCUCCUCCUGGCACUGCCGUCCUGCUGCUGGUGAUCUGUGCUGGUGUCAUCGCCCAGGACAUCUGCAGAUCCCCAGGUGACCUCCCGGCUCCAGCCCUCUUCCUGAACACCUCCAGCAAUCAGGAGGGGGAAUUGGUUUCACUUCGCUGCACCAUUGAUGGCCCUUCAGUGCCUUCCCGGAUUGUAUUCUGCAAGGAUAGGAUGGAGGCCCACAGCCUGAAAUGGCAACCAUGGAAAUUGAGCUACACCAUAACUCUAAAGGUCACCCAGGAGAGCGAGGGGACAUACACAUGUGGAUACCAGGUCAACGAUGGCAGCAACCGAGUAAGAAGCUCUGCCCUCAGUGCUGGCCGCAUCCUGGAUGUCCCUGGCACUGUGGCAGGUUCCCCGACAUGGUCAUCACCCCCAGGUGAGUGAUUCCAUCCUGCACACCCAGGGACACCAGUAUGAAGUUCAGGGCUGCCAGGCUCUCCAGACAUCCAGGGCGUGCUGACUUGCAGUCCCCUUGGCAUUGGGACAAACAGGAGCUUUACCAGACAGGAGGUGUGCCGGCUGCACAGGCACAUCCUGCUCCCUGCCUCUCCCCAUCACACCCCGCUGCCCUCACACAGUCUCUCCCCCAGCUCCCCAUGCCCGGAUCCCACACGCCCUCCCCACAGGCACGGUGCUGGCAGUGGCGGCCAUCGGCCUCGUCCUCCUGGCUGCAGGCAGCUGGUUUGCCAUCAGGAAAGGUGCCUGCAGAGGGAGAUGCCCAAGGUGAGCUCCAAGGACUGCUGGCUGUUGGGGUGUGCAGCAGGGAGUUGGGCGCAUGGCAGGGCCAUGCAGUGCUCUUCUUCUCAGCACACAUGCACCUCAGAACCAGGGGGUUUGUGGAAGUGUUGCUAAGGACCUUCAGCACCUUUUCUCUGUCAUCUCUCUAUGCCUCUCUAUGUUGCUGGUAGUGCUGAGGACUCUUCUUCUGACCCCAGACGUUUCUGUAAGUGCCAGUCCCUUCUUCACCCUUCUCUAGGCACUGUGUGAAGUGCUGAUGCCUUUGUCACAGCAAGCCGUGGCCAUGGGAGCAACUGUGGUGAGGGGUGGGGAAGCCCUACCUGCUGUGUGUGGCUGGACACUAACUCAGGUUCUCUCCUCCAGAUGCCAACAUGGAUGAGAUGGGCAGAGUGAAGGUGAGUUCAGCCCAAGGACAGCCUUCCACACUGAGCGUGCACGUGAUGGCUGCAAGAGGGCAGGCUGUUGGAGAGCAAAUGGAAGCCAAAAGUGCAUCCAAAUGCAGGAACCUGGGAGCUUCGCAUGGCUGUGCUCUGGCUGAAUCCCCCUCCUUCCAUGCUCCCAGCAUUGCCCCAUGGUGGGCACCGCCAGAUCAAGUCUACUGCUUCUUCUCCCUUGUGUUUUGCAGCUCUCUCAAUCCAACUGCUCUCAACACCCUCUGCAUGCCAAAAGCUGAGCAAAUGAGAGGCGAUGCAGCUGGUUCUCUGAGAGAGGCAGAGAGCACUGGGGAAAGCCCGGCCGACCUUUCAGCUCUCAAUAAAGCCAUCCCA
Molecule: long non-coding RNA, 2307 nt
Organism: Anas platyrhynchos (mallard)
Lineage: Eukaryota; Metazoa; Chordata; Aves; Anseriformes; Anatidae
Source: RefSeq, a predicted model, not a curated record